GACGAACGCUGGCGGCGUGCUUAACACAUGCAAGUCGAACGGAAAGGCCUGCUUUCCCUUGUGGAUUGCGGGUACUCGAGUGGCGAACGGGUGAGUAACACGUGAGUGAUCUGCCCCCAACUUGGGUAUAAGCCUGGGAAACUGGGUCUAAUUCCCGAUAGGACUGCAGGGUGGUGCCUGUGGUGGAAAACGAUUUUCUAGUGGUUGGGGAUGAGCUCGCGGCCUAUCAGCUUGUUGGUGGGGUAAUGGCCUACCAAGGCGGCGACGGGUAGCCGGCCUGAGAGGGUGGACGGGCACAUUGGGACUGAGAUACGGCCCAGACUCCGACGGGAGGCAGCAGUGGGGAAUAUUGCACAAUGGGCGGAAGCCUGAUGCAGCGACGCCGCGUGGGGGAUGACGGCCUUCGGGUUGUAAACUCCUUUCGACCGCGAGGAAGCCACCUGGUUGGAAGGGUGGUGACGGUAGUGGUAGAAGAAGCACCGGCUAACUACGUG
This 494-nucleotide ribosomal RNA is filed under the name uncultured bacterium. RNAcentral describes it as "partial 16S ribosomal RNA". It matches the Rfam family "Bacterial small subunit ribosomal RNA", at positions 28 to 507 of the family's 1533-position model. The record is from RNAcentral.